Molecule: ribosomal RNA, 2369 nt
Filed under: Klebsiella michiganensis
Lineage: Bacteria; Pseudomonadati; Pseudomonadota; Gammaproteobacteria; Enterobacterales; Enterobacteriaceae
Description: partial 23S ribosomal RNA
Rfam family: Bacterial large subunit ribosomal RNA
Source: RNAcentral
GGGUGACUGCGUACCUUUUGUAUAAUGGGUCAGCGACUUAUAUUCUGUAGCAAGGUUAACCGUAUAGGGGAGCCGCAGGGAAACCGAGUCUUAACUGGGCGUUAAGUUGCAGGGUAUAGACCCGAAACCCGGUGAUCUAGCCAUGGGCAGGUUGAAGGUUGGGUAACACUAACUGGAGGACCGAACCGACUAAUGUUGAAAAAUUAGCGGAUGACUUGUGGCUGGGGGUGAAAGGCCAAUCAAACCGGGAGAUAGCUGGUUCUCCCCGAAAGCUAUUUAGGUAGCGCCUCGUGAAUUCAUCUUCGGGGGUAGAGCACUGUUUCGGCUAGGGGGUCAUCCCGACUUACCAACCCGAUGCAAACUACGAAUACCGAAGAAUGUUAUCACGGGAGACACACGGCGGGUGCUAACGUCCGUCGUGAAGAGGGAAACAACCCAGACCGCCAGCUAAGGUCCCAAAGUCAUGGUUAAGUGGGAAACGAUGUGGGAAGGCCCAGACAGCCAGGAUGUUGGCUUAGAAGCAGCCAUCAUUUAAAGAAAGCGUAAUAGCUCACUGGUCGAGUCGGCCUGCGCGGAAGAUGUAACGGGGCUAAACCAUGCACCGAAGCUGCGGCAGCGACACUAUGUGUUGUUGGGUAGGGGAGCGUUCUGUAAGCCGUUGAAGGUGGCCUGUGAGGGUUGCUGGAGGUAUCAGAAGUGCGAAUGCUGACAUAAGUAACGAUAAUGCGGGUGAAAAACCCGCACGCCGGAAGACCAAGGGUUCCUGUCCAACGUUAAUCGGGGCAGGGUGAGUCGACCCCUAAGGCGAGGCCGAAAGGCGUAGUCGAUGGGAAACAGGUUAAUAUUCCUGUACUCGGUGUUACUGCGAAGGGGGGACGGAGAAGGCUAUGUUGGCCGGGCGACGGUUGUCCCGGUUUAAGCAUGUAGGCGGAUGUUCCAGGUAAAUCCGGAACGUCACUAACGCUGAGGUGUGAUGACGAGGCACUACGGUGCUGAAGUGACAAAUGCCCUGCUUCCAGGAAAAGCCUCUAAGCAUCAGGUAACAUCAAAUCGUACCCCAAACCGACACAGGUGGUCAGGUAGAGAAUACCAAGGCGCUUGAGAGAACUCGGGUGAAGGAACUAGGCAAAAUGGUGCCGUAACUUCGGGAGAAGGCACGCUGAUGGUAGGUGAAGUGACUUGCUCAUGGAGCUGAAAUCAGUCGAAGAUACCAGCUGGCUGCAACUGUUUAUUAAAAACACAGCACUGUGCAAACACGAAAGUGGACGUAUACGGUGUGACGCCUGCCCGGUGCCGGAAGGUUAAUUGAUGGGGUUAUCCUCGCGGAGAAGCUCUUGAUCGAAGCCCCGGUAAACGGCGGCCGUAACUAUAACGGUCCUAAGGUAGCGAAAUUCCUUGUCGGGUAAGUUCCGACCUGCACGAAUGGCGUAAUGAUGGCCAGGCUGUCUCCACCCGAGACUCAGUGAAAUUGAACUCGCUGUGAAGAUGCAGUGUACCCGCGGCAAGACGGAAAGACCCCGUGAACCUUUACUAUAGCUUGACACUGAACACUGGUCCUUGAUGUGUAGGAUAGGUGGGAGGCUUUGAAGUGUGGACGCCAGUCUGCAUGGAGCCAUCCUUGAAAUACCACCCUUUAAUGGCUGGUGUUCUAACGUGGGCCCCUAAUCGGGGUUGCGGACAGUGUCUGGUGGGUAGUUUGACUGGGGCGGUCUCCUCCUAAAGAGUAACGGAGGAGCACGAAGGUCAGCUAAUCCUGGUCGGACAUCAGGAGGUUAGUGCAAUGGCAUAAGCUGGCUUGACUGCGAGCGUGACGGCGCGAGCAGGUGCGAAAGCAGGUCAUAGUGAUCCGGUGGUUCUGAAUGGAAGGGCCAUCGCUCAACGGAUAAAAGGUACUCCGGGGAUAACAGGCUGAUACCGCCCAAGAGUUCAUAUCGACGGCGGUGUUUGGCACCUCGAUGUCGGCUCAUCACAUCCUGGGGCUGAAGUAGGUCCCAAGGGUAUGGCUGUUCGCCAUUUAAAGUGGUACGCGAGCUGGGUUUAGAACGUCGUGAGACAGUUCGGUCCCUAUCUGCCGUGGGCGCUGGAGAAUUGAGGGGGGCUGCUCCUAGUACGAGAGGACCGGAGUGGACGCAUCACUGGUGUUCGGGUUGUCAUGCCAAUGGCAUUGCCCGGUAGCUAAAUGCGGAAGAGAUAAGUGCUGAAAGCAUCUAAGCACGAAACUUGCCCCGAGAUGAGUUCUCCCUGACUCCUUGAGAGUCCUGAAGGAACGUUGAAGACGACGACGUUGAUAGGCCGGGUGUGUAAGCGCAGCGAUGCGUUGAGCUAACCGGUACUAAUGAACCGUGAGGCUUAACCUUACAACGCCGAAG